This 56-nucleotide transfer RNA is filed under the name Calopteron sp. UPOL A00650. RNAcentral describes it as "partial tRNA-Ser". The record is from RNAcentral. Lineage: Eukaryota; Metazoa; Arthropoda; Insecta; Coleoptera; Lycidae.
UAUAAACAUAUAAUUGCUUAUUAUAAAGUUAGAAGCUUUAUUUAAAAUAUUUCUUU